CUCAGAUGAACCAGGAAGCAAGCAAUGCCCACCCUUUGAAAGCUCUGGUACCAAUUUGCUAUUAGAAAGCCCUAAUUCAGGGGUUUCCACCUCUUGACAGAAGAAAGAAAGAAAGAAUUAGGUCGAAAGAGAAAGAGAGUAGAGAAGAGAGGAGAAAAAAGAGUUUAAUUUCUGUAUUUGAUUCAAAAUGAUCAUCUACAAUUAUGAGUCAACUAUUUAUUUACUUUCUCUAACAAAUUCCAUAAUUGACUCCAGCUACAUAACAGCCUAACUCAUUUUCCCUCCAAAACAUUCUCUUCCCUCCUA
RNAcentral lists this unclassified non-coding RNA (306 nucleotides) under Hevea brasiliensis (rubber tree). The record is from RNAcentral. Lineage: Eukaryota; Viridiplantae; Streptophyta; Magnoliopsida; Malpighiales; Euphorbiaceae.